UACGAAGGGGGCUAGCGUUGUUCGGAAUCACUGGGCGUAAAGCGCACGUAGGCGGAUUUUUAAGUCAGGGGUGAAAUCCCGAGGCUCAACCUCGGAACUGCCUUUGAUACUGGAGAUCUUGGGUCCGGAAGAGGUAAGUGGAACUGCGAGUGUAGAGGUGAAAUUCGUAGAUAUUCGCAAGAACACCAGUGGCGAAGGCGACUUACUGGUCCGGAACUGACGCUGAGGUGCGAAAGCGUGGGGAGCAAACAGG
Molecule: ribosomal RNA, 253 nt
Filed under: uncultured bacterium
Lineage: Bacteria
Description: partial 16S ribosomal RNA
Rfam family: Bacterial small subunit ribosomal RNA
Source: RNAcentral